RNAcentral lists this transfer RNA (72 nucleotides) under Saitoella complicata NRRL Y-17804. It matches the Rfam family "tRNA". Rfam says of the family: Transfer RNA (tRNA) molecules are approximately 80 nucleotides in length. Their secondary structure includes four short double-helical elements and three loops (D, anti-codon, and T loops). RNAcentral also lists the same sequence under 1 other name. Lineage: Eukaryota; Fungi; Ascomycota; Saitoellomycetes; Saitoellales; Saitoellaceae. The record is from Rfam by way of RNAcentral.
GGCUGACUGGCGUAAUGGUAGCGCGUCCGCCUCCUAAGCGGAAGGUUCUGGGUUCGAGUCCCAGGUUGGUCG